This is a long non-coding RNA of Cryptotermes secundus, 739 nucleotides long. RefSeq lists it as uncharacterized. The record is from RefSeq and is a predicted model, not a curated record. NCBI's taxonomy places the organism in Eukaryota, Metazoa, Arthropoda, Insecta, Blattodea, Kalotermitidae. The transcript has 3 exons.
CUUACAUGAUAGAAUUAAUGUACUUACACAGUUACUGUCCGUUUGCUACUACAAAAUUACGUAAACUAUUGUAACUUUACUUUUAAUUCUGACCGCAACCUCCAAUACGUUCAAAACGGUUGACCAAUUUAGUAGUUGUGAUAUUGACCGCUGAUGUCUCAGUAGGCGCCUAAUUUCCCUCCUUGCAUAAAAAAUGUCCAAUAUAUAUAUAUCCAACUUUUCAAAAUCAAUUCUUAUUCCAAACAAGCCAGAUGGCCUAAUCUCUGAAAUAUUAACAAGAAAAGACAAAUUAAUUAAUUUGAUCAACUUUUACGUGAAAAUGGGAAUACAAAGACAGUGAUGCCAACUGUGUUAAUAUAUGGAAAGGUUGUGACUCGUUAAUAAGGAUUCGAAGGGAAUGUCCCCGUGUUAGAUUGAAUUGAGCUAUGUAUAUAGCAAGAAUUAGUGCACACGAGGAUGUGACGUUUCAUAUUGCAAGAUCCUCAAUAAUAAAAAGGGACAAGACAGAGUUACUGUAGAGAUACAGACAAUAAAAUAAAAAGCGUGAGAGGAGACUGUAACUUUAAAUUCAUCUGUAGUUGGUUACAAGACCUAGGAACACUUGUCAGCAUGGUAUCUCAAACAGUCGUAAAUAUGGCUCCUCACAAUAAUAAUAUAUGAGUUUUGAUGUACAGCUGUAGUAACAAAAGAGUUUUGACUGAAGCCAAAGCGUUACUAUGGAAAUGACUGCGCUGAAGAA